GAGUAAUAUAUCGGAACGUGCCCAGUCGUGGGGGAUAACGUAGCGAAAGCUACGCUAAUACCGCAUACGAUCUAUGGAUGAAAGCGGGGGAUCGCAAGACCUCGCGCGAUUGGAGCGGCCGAUAUCAGAUUAGCUAGUUGGUGAGGUAAAGGCUCACCAAGGCGACGAUCUGUAGCUGGUCUGAGAGGACGACCAGCCACACUGGAACUGAGACACGGUCCAGACUCCUACGGGAGGCAGCAGUGGGGAAUUUUGGACAAUGGGCGAAAGCCUGAUCCAGCAAUGCCGCGUGCAGGAUGAAGGCCUUCGGGUUGUAAACUGCUUUUGUACGGAACGAAAAAGCUUUCUCUAAUAAAGAGAGCUCAUGACGGUACCGUAAGAAUAAGCACCGGCUAACUACGUGCCAGCAGCCGCGGUAAUACGUAGGGUGCGAGCGUUAAUCGGAAUUACUGGGCGUAAAGCGUGCGCAGGCGGUUAUGUAAGACAGAUGUGAAAUCCCCGGGCUCAACCUGGGACCUGCAUUUGUGACUGCAUAGCUAGAGUACGGUAGAGGGGGAUGGAAUUCCGCGUGUAGCAGUGAAAUG
This 584-nucleotide ribosomal RNA is filed under the name uncultured bacterium. RNAcentral's name for it is "bacterial SSU rRNA". It matches the Rfam family "Bacterial small subunit ribosomal RNA", at positions 108 to 688 of the family's 1533-position model. The record is from RNAcentral.